UGGGGUGUAGCCAAGCGGUAAGGCACAGGGUUUUGAUCCCUGCAUACCUAGGUUCGAAUCCUAGCACCCCAGCCA
This 75-nucleotide transfer RNA is filed under the name Legionella busanensis. RNAcentral's name for it is "tRNA-Gln(ttg)". It matches the Rfam family "tRNA". From Rfam's summary of the family: Transfer RNA (tRNA) molecules are approximately 80 nucleotides in length. Their secondary structure includes four short double-helical elements and three loops (D, anti-codon, and T loops). Further hydrogen bonds mediate the characteristic L-shaped molecular structure. tRNAs have two regions of fundamental functional importance: the anti-codon, which is responsible for specific mRNA codon recognition, and the 3' end, to which the tRNAs corresponding amino acid is attached (by aminoacyl-tRNA synthetases). tRNAs cope with the degeneracy of the genetic code in two manners: having more than one tRNA (with a specific anti-codon) for a particular amino acid; and 'wobble' base-pairing, i.e. permitting non-standard base-pairing at the 3rd anti-codon position. The record is from RNAcentral. Lineage: Bacteria; Pseudomonadati; Pseudomonadota; Gammaproteobacteria; Legionellales; Legionellaceae. RNAcentral also lists the same sequence under 4 other names.